This 305-nucleotide ribosomal RNA is filed under the name uncultured bacterium. Its description in RNAcentral is "bacterial SSU rRNA". It matches the Rfam family "Bacterial small subunit ribosomal RNA", at positions 335 to 633 of the family's 1533-position model. The record is from RNAcentral.
GACCUACGGGGCGCAGCAGUAGGGAAUCUUCCACAAUGGGCGAAAGCCUGAUGGAGCAACGCCGCGUGGGUGAAGAAGGUCUUCGGAUCGUAAAACCCUGUUGUUAGAGAAGAAAGUGCGUGAGAGUAACUGUUCACGUUUCGACGGUAUCUAACCAGAAAGCCACGGCUAACUACGUGCCAGCAGCCGCGGUAAUACGUAGGUGGCAAGCGUUAUCCGGAUUGAUUGGGCGUAAAGGGAACGCAGGCGGCCUUUUAAGUCUGAUGUGAAAGGCUUCGGCUUAACCGGAGGAGUCACUUGGAAGU